Molecule: microRNA precursor, 78 nt
Filed under: Schistosoma margrebowiei
Lineage: Eukaryota; Metazoa; Platyhelminthes; Trematoda; Strigeidida; Schistosomatidae
Description: mir-3492 microRNA precursor family
Rfam family: mir-3492 microRNA precursor family
Source: Rfam by way of RNAcentral
GGCUUUUCAAAUCCGUGCUGAGAUUUCGUCAGACACCAGCCCAUUAUGGCUGAUCAGAAUUCCAAGAUAAGUGAAGGU